RNAcentral lists this transfer RNA (72 nucleotides) under Bos taurus (domestic cattle). It matches the Rfam family "tRNA". From Rfam's summary of the family: Transfer RNA (tRNA) molecules are approximately 80 nucleotides in length. Their secondary structure includes four short double-helical elements and three loops (D, anti-codon, and T loops). The record is from Rfam by way of RNAcentral. RNAcentral also lists the same sequence under 2 other names. Lineage: Eukaryota; Metazoa; Chordata; Mammalia; Artiodactyla; Bovidae.
UUCCAGGUGGUUCAGAUGGUAAAGCGUCUGCCUGCAGAGCAGGAGACCUGGGUUCGAUCCCUGGGUCGGGAA